CAGUCGCCGCGGUAAUACGGAGGGUGCAAGCGUUAUCCGGAUUUAUUGGGUUUAAAGGGUCCGUAGGCGGACUUAUAAGUCAGUGGUGAAAGCCUGUCGCUUAACGAUAGAACUGCCAUUGAUACUGUAAGUCUUGAGUAUAUUUGAGGUAGCUGGAAUAAGUAGUGUAGCGGUGAAAUGCAUAGAUAUUACUUAGAACACCAAUUGCGAAGGCAGGUUACCAAGAUAUAACUGACGCUGAGGGACGAAAGCGUGGGUAGCGAACAGGAUUAGAUACCCCUGUAGUCCCUGUCUCUUAUAC
Molecule: ribosomal RNA, 301 nt
Filed under: uncultured bacterium
Lineage: Bacteria
Description: partial 16S ribosomal RNA
Rfam family: Bacterial small subunit ribosomal RNA
Source: RNAcentral